AGGCCCCAGGUCAAGCGGGGCUACCCGCUGAGUUUAAGCAUAUCAAUAAGCAGAGGAAAAGAAACUUGCAAGGAUUCCCCUAGUAACAGCAAAGGAACCGGGAAGGGCCCAGCUUUAAAAUCGGGCGGCGUCGCCAUUCAAAUUGUAGUUUGGAGAAGCGUCAUCUACGAUGGACCGGGCCCAAGUCUCCUGGAAAGGGGAUCUAGAGAGGGUGAGAGCCGUACCGUGCCCGGACCCUAUUGCACCACGAGGCGUUGUCACUGAGUUGGGUUGUUUGGAAAUGCAGCCCUAAGUGAGCAGUAAUUUUUGUCCAAGGCUAAAUACGGGCGAGAGACUGAUAGCGGAAAAGUAUCGCGAAGGAAAGAUGAAAAAGACUUUGAAAAGGGAGUCAAAGAGUGCUUGAAAUUAUCGAGAGGGAAGCGGAUGGGGGUCGGCGAUACACCUCGGUCGGAUGUGUAAUGGCCACAAGCCGGUCCACCGAUCGGCUCAGGGCAUGGACCGACGUGGAUUGGGAGGGCGGCUGAACCCCUGUCUGCAGGAGCGUCAUCCUCGUGAUUGUGGAAGGCAGCGCGCUCCGUUACGACGUGCCCCAGCACCUGCCUGCUCCACGCGUCGGCCUGCGGGCCCCCCAUUUGAGCCUUCUUAAAACACGGGCCAAGGAGUCUGACUUGUGCGCGAGUCAACAGGCGAGUAAACCCAUACGGCGCAUGGAAGCUAAUUGGUGGGAUCCCUCGUGGGUGCACUGCCGACUGACUUGAUCUUCUUAGAAGGGUUCAAGUGAGAGCAUAUCUGUCGGGACCCGAAAGAUGGUGAACUAUGCUUGAGUAGGGCGAAGUCAGAGGAAACUCUGGUGGAGGCCCGAAGCGAUACUGACGUGCAAAUUGUUCGUUUGACUUGGGUAUAGGGGCGAAACACUAAUCGAACCGUCUAGCAGCUAGUUCUCUCUGAAAAUUCCCUCAGGAUAGCUGGAGAUCAUACGCGAAUUCUAUCAGGUAAAGCCAAUGAUUAGAGGCAUCGGGGGCAUAAUGCCCUCGACCUAUUCUCAAACUUUAAAUAGGUAGGACGACGCGACUGUUUUGUUCAGCAGCGCCACAAAAUCGAGAGCUCCAAGUGGGCCAAUUUUGGUAAGCAGAAUUGCUGAUGCGAGAUGAACCGGAAGUCGCAUUAGGGUGCCCAACUGCUCGCUAUAGAUCCCACAAAGGGUGUUGGUCGAUUAAGACAGCAGGACGGUGGUCAUGGAAGUCGAAAUCCGCUACGGAGUGCGUAACAACUCGCCUACCGAAUGAACUAGCCCUGAAAAUGGAUGGCACUGAAGCGCGCUACCUAUACUCAGUCGUCGGCGCAAGUGCCAGGCCCCGAUGAGUAGGAGGGGGUGGCAGUCGCUGCAAAACCUAUGGCGCCAGCCAAGGCGGAGCGUCCGUCGGUGCAGAUCUUGGUGAUAGUACCAAAUAUUCAAAUGAGAACUUUGAAGGCUGAAGAGGGGAAAGGUUCCAUGUGAACGGGACUUGCACAUGGGUUAGUCAAUCCUAAGAGAUGGGGGAAGCUCGUCUGACAGCGCGUUUUACGCGAGCUUCAACAGGGAAUCGGGUUAAAAAUCCCAAAUCAGGAUGCGGCAAUUGACGGCAACGUUAGGGAGUCCGAAGAUUUCGGUGGGGGCCUCGAGAAGAGUUAUCUUUUCUGUUUAAUAGCCUUCCCACCCUGGAAAUGACUCAAUCGGAGGCAGGUUUAAUGGUUGGAAGAGCACCGUACGUUAUGUGGUGUCUGAUGCACCCCUGGUGGCCCUUGAAAAUUUGGAGGACCGAGUGCCGACCAUACCCGGUCGUACUCAUAACCGCAUCAGGUCUCUAAGGUGAACAACCUCUGAUCGAUGGAACAAUGCAGGCAAGGGAUGCCGGAAAAAUGAAUCCGUAACUUUGGAAAAAGGAUUGGCUCUGAGGGCUGGGCACGGGGAUCCUAGUCCCGAACUCGUCGGUUGUCGGUGGACUACUCGAGCUGCUCACACAACGAGAGCAGGUCGCCGCGUGCCAGCUAGGGGACGGACUGGAAACGGCCCCAUUGGGGGCCUUCCCCAUAUGUCGAAUAGUCAACUAAGAACUGGUACGAACAAGGGAAAUCCGACUGUUUAAUUAAAACAAACCAUUGCGAUGGUCCCUGCUGAUGUUAACGCAACGUGAUUUCUGCCCAGUGCUCUGAAUGUCAAAGUAAAGAAAUUCAACCAAGCAUGGGUAAACAACGGGAGUAACCAGGACUCUUCUAAGGUAACCACAUGCCUCGUCAUCUAAUUAGUGACACGCAUGAAUAGAUUAAUGAGAUUCCCACUGCCCCUGUUUACUAUCCAGCGAAACCACAGCCAAGGGAACGGGCUUGGCAGAAUCAGCGGGUAAAGAAGNNNNNNNNGAGCUUGACUCUAGUCCAACUUUGUGAAUUGAUGUGAGAGGUGUAGCAUAAAUGGGAGCCUCGGCGCAAGUGAAAUACCACUACUUUUAACGAUAUCUUACUUACUCAGUGAGUCGAAGAUGAGGCAUCGCCCCUCUUUUUGGACCUAAGGCUCGCUUACGGGCUGAUCCUGGCGGAGGACAUUGUCAGGUGGGGAGUUUGGCUAGGGUGGCACAUCUAUUAAAAGAUAAUGUAGGUAUCCUAAGAUGAGCUAAACGAGAAUAGAAAUCUUGUGUGGAACAGAAGGGUAAAAGCUUGUUUGAUUCUGACUUUCAGUACGAAUACAAACCGUAGAAGCGUGGCUCAAUGAUCCUUUAGAGCUUCGGAAUUUGAAGCUAGAGUGUCAGAAAAGUUACCACAGGGAUAAUUGGCUUGAGGAAGCUAAGAGUUUAUAGCAACGUUGCUUUUUUAUCCUUCGAUGUCGACUCGUCCUAUUAUUGUGAAGCAGAAUUCACCAAGUGUUGGAUUGUUCACCCACCAAUAGGGAACGUGAGUUGGGUUUAGGCCAUCGUGAGACAGGUUAGUUUUACCAUACUAAUGCUAGUAUCACGAUGGUAAUUCAACCUAGUAUGAGAGGAACCGUUGAUUCGUACAAUUGGUCAUCGCGGUUGGUUGAAAAGCCAGUGGCGCGAAGCUAUCGUGCACUGGAUUAUGUCUGAACGCCUCUGAGUUAGAAUCCGGGCCAGAAGUGACGCAUGCGCCCACUGCCCGAUUGCCGACCUACAGUAGGGGCCUCAGCCCCCAAGGGCACGUGUUGUACGAUAAGCUCGCAUGGUGGAUACGCCGUUAGUGCCGCCUUGAAGUACAAUUCCUACCGAGCAGUGGGUUGAAUCCUUUGCAGGCGACUUAAAUACGCAAUGGGAUAUUGUAAGUAACAGAGUGGCCUUGCUACCACGAUCCACUGAGAUUCA
Molecule: ribosomal RNA, 3347 nt
Filed under: Lophocereus schottii
Lineage: Eukaryota; Viridiplantae; Streptophyta; Magnoliopsida; Caryophyllales; Cactaceae
Description: eukaryotic LSU rRNA
Rfam family: Eukaryotic large subunit ribosomal RNA
Source: RNAcentral